UUCCACAUAUCGAGAGUAAGCAUCAAUUGCAUCAUCGCCACUUCCUCCUCCAAUCACUUGCUUCCUCACCCGAUCUUCCACCAUCGUCUGCCGCUGCCGCUGCCGCCUCACUGAUGUAGCAGAAGGGAAACACAAGAAGAUGGAUUGUAAUGUGCCCCAGUCCAUAGCUUCACUGUGGGAAUUCUGCAUGGUUGUUUGGUGGAAUUGUCUGUCCACCUACAAUGCCUACAGGUGAUGAAGUUUAAGCAAAACCCUCCUGUUGAGUUUUGAGCAUCUUUGGGCUUGAAUUUGGAGUUAACUGAGCUCCCUAUUGUGUUGCUCAUCUCAAGCAUGGACAGAGGGGUUGCAAGCACUGGUUUGGUUAGCAUGUAUGGGAUGUUGCUGCAACAGGAGUUCAUCAUUUCUGGCCAUGCCAAGUAUGUCCUGUAGCUGCUGUUGAUGUAUCUGCAUGUGAGAAUUUUUGAAGCAGCUCUUAGGCCAAGGUACCUGAGCAAGCUUUUGUUCCUAAGAUGUAAAGGAUUUGAAUUCCAUGUAGGCUUUUGAGUGACUUGAUUCCUCUUCUAAGUAUCUCCAAUUACUUUUUA
Molecule: long non-coding RNA, 584 nt
Organism: Musa acuminata AAA Group (dessert banana)
Lineage: Eukaryota; Viridiplantae; Streptophyta; Magnoliopsida; Zingiberales; Musaceae
Exons: 2
Source: RefSeq, a predicted model, not a curated record